GAUGAACGCUAGCGGAGGCUUAACACAUGCAAGUCGAGGGGCAUCACGAGGUAGCAAUACGUUUGGUGGCGACCGGCGCACGGGUGAGUAACACGUAUGCAACCUUCCCUGUACAGGGGGAUAACCCGGAGAAAUUCGGACUAAUACCCCAUGAUGAUAUUAUGGGGCAUCCUUUAAUAUUUAAAGCUCUGGCGGUACAGGAUGGGCAUGCGCGACAUUAGCUAGUUGGUAAGGUAACGGCUUACCAAGGCGACGAUGUUUAGGGGACCUGAGAGGGUUGUCCCCCACACUGGUACUGAGACACGGACCAGACUCCUACGGGAGGCAGCAGUGAGGAAUAUUGGUCAAUGGGCGCAAGCCUGAACCAGCCAUCCCGCGUGAAGGAAGAAUGCGCUACGCGUUGUAAACUUCUUUUCCAGGGGGAGAAUAAUCCUGUCGUGACAGGACUUGACGGUACUCUGGGAAUAAGCAUCGGCUAACUCCGUG
RNAcentral lists this ribosomal RNA (486 nucleotides) under uncultured bacterium. RNAcentral's name for it is "bacterial SSU rRNA". It matches the Rfam family "Bacterial small subunit ribosomal RNA", at positions 28 to 507 of the family's 1533-position model. The record is from RNAcentral.